RNAcentral lists this long non-coding RNA (338 nucleotides) under Olea europaea subsp. europaea. The record is from RNAcentral. Lineage: Eukaryota; Viridiplantae; Streptophyta; Magnoliopsida; Lamiales; Oleaceae.
UUCUCACUGUUUUUUACUUGGCUAACACUUUUCCAAAUGUCAUUUUCUUAUUCGUUAUUCCGUAGAUCUCCCUUACCCAUUAGAUAGCUUGUCCGGAUGCCUUUUGUACUUUGCAUUACUUCGCAACGCCAAGAAAAUUUGAACACGGUUCUUGAAUCACUAUUUUCUCUCUCAGCAUUUCUGACAAAGAAGCAGAAGUAUAGAUAUAGAUAGAAGCAGAUACAAACACAGAGAAGAAUAACAAUGGGAGGUAAAAGUUGGAGUUUGAAAGCAAAGCUAUGUGAUUCCUGCAAAUCAUCGCCGGCGAGUGUUUUUUGCCAUGCCGACACGGCAUUUUU